GAAUUUUGGACAAUGGGCGCAAGCCUGAUCCAGCCAUGCCGCGUGAGUGAAGAAGGCCUUCGGGUUGUAAAGCUCUUUCGGCCGGAACGAAAUCGUCCGGGCUAAUACCCCGGAUGGAUGACGGUACCGGAAGAAGAAGCACCGGCUAACUACGUGCCAGCAGCCGCGGUAAUACGUAGGGUGCAGGCGUUAAUCGGAAUUACUGGGCGUAAAGCGUGCGCAGGCGGCUUCUCAAGUCAGAUGUGAAAUCCCCGGGCUUAACCUGGGAACUGCGUUUGAAACUGGGGAGCUAGAGUGUGGCAGAGGGGGGUGGAAUUCCACGUGUAGCAGUGAAAUGCGUAGAUAUGUGGAGGAACACCGAUGGCGAAGGCAGCCCCCUGGGCCUGCACUGACGCUCAUGCACGAAAGCGUGGGGAGCAAACAG
RNAcentral lists this ribosomal RNA (424 nucleotides) under uncultured bacterium. RNAcentral describes it as "bacterial SSU rRNA". It matches the Rfam family "Bacterial small subunit ribosomal RNA", at positions 359 to 775 of the family's 1533-position model. The record is from RNAcentral.